UGUGUAGGCGGUCCACUAAGUCGGAUGUGAAAGCCCUGGGCUCAACCCAGGAAGUGCACUCGAAACUGGCGGGCUAGAGUAUCGGAGAGGUUGGUGGAAUUCUCGGUGUAGAGGUGAAAUUCGUAGAUAUCGAGAGGAACACCGGUGGCGAAGGCGGCCAACUGGACGAAUACUGACGCUGAGACACGAAAGCGUGGGGAGCAAACAGGAUUAGAUACCCUGGUAGUCCACGCCGUAAACGAUGGGUGCUAGGUGUCGCGGGCUUUGACUCCCGCGGUGCCGUAGCUAACGCAUUAAGCACCCCGCCUGGGAAGUACGGCCGCAAGGCUAAA
This 332-nucleotide ribosomal RNA is filed under the name uncultured bacterium. Its description in RNAcentral is "bacterial SSU rRNA". It matches the Rfam family "Bacterial small subunit ribosomal RNA", at positions 568 to 898 of the family's 1533-position model. The record is from RNAcentral.